AAAUCACCUCCUAAAAGCAAGUUAUUGUAUAGCACGGACACGAGAAACAUAGUUGUCCAGUGCUGUACUGCUAUUACCACCAAACGACGCCGGUUUGCCCUCACCUCGAACAUAAAAACAGUGUAAAAGACUGAGCUGAGCUGAGCAGAGCAGAGCAGCAGAGAGAGAAAGGGAGCGAUGUUAGCAAUAGGGAGCGCGAUUCGAAGGAUCCACACAACUGUAGAUGCUCCACGCCUCACCAGAUUCGCUCUUCAUCCCCCUAAAUCUGUAGAGGUGGGAUUUGCUGAUGGUAGCAUCUUUAAUUUGUCAGCUGAAUUUCUAAGAGUACACAGCCCAGCUGUUGACAGCAAGAUCAGGUCUAUUGGUGGUGAAAAGGUGAUUUCUGGAAGGCGUCAUGUGGGAAUCAUGUCUGCAGAGCCUGUAGGAAACUACGGGGUAAGGAUUGUUUUUGAUGACUUGCAUAAAACUGGGAUAUAUUCGUGGGAUUAUUUUUAUGAGCUUGGUAGCAACAAAUUUACCCUCAUGAGAAAUUAUAUCAAAACAUUAAAGAAGCAUGGACUCACCCGGGAUCCACGUAGAAGAAAAUAGCGGACUUAUGUCAUAUCAUCCUAGCUUGUUCUUCAAUUGACGUCAUAUCGUCUUAUCUAGCAAGAUUGAUUGCUGGAGACCUUAAAAGAGAAUUAAUCAUUCUUGUUGACAAUAUAGGCUAUCAUCAUGCACCUGUAGUGUAAAUCAGUUGGCCUUCGAAACCUUAACUGAUUUGUUGAGCUGUUUAUAUGUACUUCCAGAUUAUUUUACUUCCCUGAUAAUCUCUUCAUAAUAUCUUGGAUCGAAAUAAAUGAAAAGUGAUUUAGAAAAAUGGUUCAGCUGAUUUAUAUACUAGUUUUGUACUAAUCUCUUGGUUAUCUAUAUGACAGGAUUAUACAUAAAUGGAAUGUAACCUAACCAUUGUAUCACUUUUAAUUUA
RNA transcript from Quercus robur (English oak), 967 nucleotides. RefSeq lists it as uncharacterized. The transcript is spliced from 5 exons. NCBI's taxonomy places the organism in Eukaryota, Viridiplantae, Streptophyta, Magnoliopsida, Fagales, Fagaceae. The record is from RefSeq and is a predicted model, not a curated record.